This 253-nucleotide ribosomal RNA is filed under the name uncultured bacterium. Its description in RNAcentral is "partial 16S ribosomal RNA". It matches the Rfam family "Bacterial small subunit ribosomal RNA", at positions 524 to 776 of the family's 1533-position model. The record is from RNAcentral.
UACGUAGGGUGCAAGCGUUGUCCGGAAUUAUUGGGCGUAAAGAGCUCGUAGGCGGUGUUCCCAGUCUGUUGUGAAAUCUCCCGGCUUAACUGGGAGGGUGCAGCGGAAACUAGAAUGCUAGAGGGUGGGAGAGGUAAGCGGAAUUCCUGGUGUAGCGGUGAAAUGCGUAGAUAUCAGGAGGAACACCUGUGGUGUAGACAGCUUACUGGACCACUUCUGACGCUGAGACACGAAAGCGUGGGUAGCAAACAGG